UGGCUUAGUGGUUAAGAGCACUGGUUGCUCUUCCAGAGGACCUGGGUUCAAUUCCCAG
Molecule: transfer RNA, 58 nt
Filed under: Cricetulus griseus (Chinese hamster)
Lineage: Eukaryota; Metazoa; Chordata; Mammalia; Rodentia; Cricetidae
Rfam family: tRNA
About the family: Transfer RNA (tRNA) molecules are approximately 80 nucleotides in length.
Source: Rfam by way of RNAcentral